Gavialis gangeticus (Gharial) is the source of this 225-nucleotide long non-coding RNA. RefSeq lists it as uncharacterized. The record is from RefSeq and is a predicted model, not a curated record. The transcript has 4 exons. NCBI's taxonomy places the organism in Eukaryota, Metazoa, Chordata, Crocodylia, Gavialidae.
UCCUGGUUCUGCUCAAACUUGUGUGAAUCCGGAGUCACUCCUGAUUCAGCUGAAUCAGUAAGAGCAGUCAGAAGCGGAUUGCCCACCCUACCGUUCCUGUAUUAACAGGACAGCAGCGCUGUCAAGCUUUUCCCCGACAGACCAACAUCCUCCGGACUCUUACCCUCCACUAGCAACUUUUCUUUGAGCAUCCCACCCCACGGCAACAAACUCCUGGUAGUUUCC